UAAAUGCGAUAAGUAAUGUGAAUUGCAUAAUUCCGUGAAUCAUCGAAUCUUUGAACGCACAUUGCGCCCUCUGGUAUUCCGGGGGGCAUGCCUGUCCGAGCGUCAUUGCGAACCCCUCAAGCACGGCUUGUGUGAUGGGCCCUCCCGCGUCUUGGUCGUCAAGACGGGCCCGAAAUGCAGUGGCGGCUUCGCGGUUAUCCGAUCAGCCAGAGCGUAUGGGGACUUUCUCUCUGUCACACGCCCGCGGCGCGGACCGACGCCUGUCGACCUUCAUUCAUCGUUUUCUCGGUUGACCUCGGAUCAGGUAGGGAUACCCGCUGAACUUAAGC
RNAcentral lists this unclassified non-coding RNA (329 nucleotides) under plant metagenome. RNAcentral's name for it is "partial contains 5.8S ribosomal RNA, internal transcribed spacer 2, and large subunit ribosomal RNA". The stretch from base 1 to 105 matches the Rfam family "5.8S ribosomal RNA", at positions 50 to 154 of the family's 154-position model. The record is from RNAcentral.